UUUGGGUGUCUCGAAUUCCUUGGCAGGGUCUGAAGCUGGUGGUGUUUGCAAACCUCCUGUACUCUGAGUCCAUGAGCUUCACUGCCAACAAAAUCCACUCAAAGGAUCACAUCAGGAUUAUUUCUGUUGCUGUUGGCCUGGUGAACCUAAAGACCGAGCUUUUCUCUAAGAACCAACACAAGAGCAGCAGCCAGGUCUGCAGAGACGGUGUGCAGGAAGACGGGCAGCGGCUGGGAGUGCUUUCAUUUUCCUGGGGCUCUGCGUGUGUGCGAACAUCCUGGGGGGAGCCCUCUCGGGGAAGAGCUGCAGAGCCCCCGGCUGUGUGCAGCGCCGAUAAGGAGAUGAAACAAUGGUGCUGCGACACUGAGAGCGCCGCACAAUUACUUGGGUCCUGA
This 395-nucleotide long non-coding RNA is filed under the name Anas platyrhynchos platyrhynchos (common mallard). RNAcentral's name for it is "lncRNA (ENSAPLG00000027954.1)". Lineage: Eukaryota; Metazoa; Chordata; Aves; Anseriformes; Anatidae. The record is from RNAcentral.